GGGCGUGGAGGGGCGGGCCCGUGGGCGGGGCCCGGCGCGCCACCAGGGCAGUGGGGGGCCCGGCCCCUCCUGGGAGGGUCGGGCGUUGUGGGACUGCGCGCGCUCAGGCGGCCGCCCUAGUCUCCUGUCCCCUCACCUGUCCCCUUAGCUGUCCCAUCUCCUGUUCCCUCUCCUGUCCCUCACCUGUCCUAUCUCCUGUCCUCCUGUGCCCUCAGCUGUCCCCUCAGCCCCCCUCAGUUCCCCCAGAGGCCCUUAGCCUCGGAACGGGCGCGUGGCUGUGCCCUGCGGCUGCAGGAGGCCGAGGGGACGAAGCGCAGCUGUUCCUGAGGCGAGUGGGUGACCGCAGAGCGGGAGCGCUGUCCCGCCUGGCAGCCUGGACGCCGGCCCUCCUCCUGGACGGACUAGUGGGACAGAAUCAUUGAAUGCGUAAGCUGAAAGGACUCUGGACCAGUCCUCUAAUGGAACAGAUGAAGAGAACUCACCCAGAGACCAAGGACCUGGCCAGCACUCCUAUCCCAGGGCUUUAUCACCACCACACAUGGUCUCGGGGACCACGUUCAUUGAAUGCCUACCACUUGGUCUGUAUCAUAUUUGAUUUUACAGAGAAAUAACAGUCACCUUUUCCUCCCUAUUGCAGAAGGUAUUCUUGUGACUUUGAUAGUGAGAAUGCAUUUAAGAAACAUUUUUAAAGCACAUCUUUCCAAAUGCGAAAAUGAAUAUGUGGAUGUUUUUGGUCUUGUACAUUCAAUAAUAUGAAACUACAGUGACUGAAAGAGUAUAACUAAAGUAGGAAAGAACACUCUCUUUUCUCCCUAAAAAUGUGUCAGAAUCAUUGCGCUUAUAAAAGCCUGGAAUCCCAAAAGUCAUUGAUGAAAAAUAUGAUUGGAAUAGCUCCAAUUAGAUACUUUCUAAAAUAGUUUUCUUUCCUCUUUCUCAAGUAUUUUAAGCUACAGAGAAGCUCCUUAACUGUAAUAGGGUUCACUGAAGACUGACUCUUCAGAGCUGAGCAGAGCCCAGGCUGCCCUCAAGCGCAUGUGUGGGAGAGAUGCUCUCAGUUCAAGGCAGGCUCUCUGUACCCUGAAAUCUGGCUAAAGCUGCACAGUGCUACGAAGACAACUUGUGAGGAAAGAGCGGGGAGUGUGCAGGAAAGCAACAGAGCCUGGCUCUCAGGGAAGAUCACGGUACAGGGGCCAAAUAGUCUGGGUUGGGCCUGGUCCCCAGUCCCCAGCAAACUUGGAAACACCACGAAAUCACUUCAGAGUCUCUCAAACAAUAUGUCACUGUGAAGUCUUUAAAUUCUAUACCAGCUCUGUAACUCUUUAUUUUCAUCGCUUAAUCCAGGGGUCCCCAACCCACUGUGCGAGGCCUGUUAGGAACCAGGGGGCACAGCAGGAGGUGAACAGUGGGUGAGAGAGAGAGAGAGAAGCUUCAUCCGUUGCUCCACACUGCUUGCAUUACCACCUGAAUCACGCCCGCCACUGUAGCUCACAUUACUGCCUAAACCAUCCCCCCUGCUUCCGUGGAAAAAACUGUCUUCCACGAAACUGGUCCCUGGUGCCAAAAAAGUUGGGGACCGCUGGAAUCGGUUUGCCACAAUUUACCAUGUAACCUCUUGUAAUUCUCAUUAGGUUUCAGCAGCUUUGGACUUGUCACUUACCUUGACAUCGGAGCUCUACAAAAUUGUCUAAAUUAAUGAAAAAUUCCAUAGAGCAUGAUAUCACGUAUCUUAAGAGACUGCCUUUCUGUUAAUGUUAUUCAUUGGCUACUAGACUUAUCUACCUGUGGUUAACCUAUCUCAAAAGUUAGCAAAUAUUAUUCAGCAGAAACGAAUGUUUCUAAUACAGUGUGUCAAAAAUUACAUGAAAUUUUCCCCAAGAUAUAGUCCCUAAUACAAUUUUUGCUUCUCUUAUUAUGUUACAAAUGAUAAAAUGACUGCCUGAAAGUUGAAGUUGUCUUGAAGAGUUUAGCACCCUCAUAAAAACACUUCUAUAUAGACUUUUUCUUAUUUGAACACAUUACUUUUUUUAAUGAUUUCUUCUGAAAUAAUUAUAAACUGACAGGAAGUUGCAAAAAUAGGACAGUAAAGCCCCAAGUAAUCUUCAUCCGGUUUUCCUAAUUGGUUACAUUUUAUGUAACAAUAGGAUACUAUCAAAGCUGGGAAAUUGACAUUGCUACAAGGUAUAUGUGUGCCACAUUAUCACAUGUGUUGCCACCACCAAGAUCAAGAUACAUAACUGUUCCAUCACCACAAAGAUCUCCCUCCUGUUACCCCUAUAUAUAGUCACAGUUACCUUCCUCCCACCCUGGCCCCCAUGCACCAUCCCUAAAACUUGGCAACCACUUAUCUGUCUCCUUCUUUGUCAUCUUGAGAAUGCUAUAUAAAUGUAUUCAUAUAAUAUGUGACCUUCAAACACCAACCUCAAAUGUUGGCUUUUUUCACCCAGCAUGUUUUUUGAGAUCCAUCCAAGUACUUGCAUGUAUCAGUAGUUAAUCCUUUUUACUGUUAAGUAGUGUUUCAUAGUAUUAAUGUACCACGGUUUGUUUAACCAUUCACUUAUUCUAGAACAUUUUUAUUGUUUCUAGUUUGGGACUAUAACAAACAAAGCUGCUAGAAACAAUCAUGUAGAGAUAUUUGCAUGGACAUAAAAUUUAAUUUCUCUGGGAUGAACGUAUAUGAUACUUUUGAACAUUUUUGGAAAACCAGUGUAUAUAAUUAUGUUGUUCUGUUGCUUCUUAUGUCACUGAAAGAAAAGGAUGAACUUGGUGAUUUGAACUCCCAGCUCAAGUGCCACAUAAAUGACCAUGUGCCCUGAAGGAGACCACUGUCUCCUGUAGCUACAGGGCUGGAAAUCAAGCACAGAACCUCAUCGUGCGACUGGUUGAAUUACAAUGCAAGUUGAACUCCCAGUUUUGAAGGGCAUCUACUGUUGAAUCAAUGUGAGGGCAUUGAUUGGGAAAGAACUGGAUCUUAGAAGUUGGGAUGGGGACCCGUGGGAAGAUCCUGAUGAAGCUGGGGAUAUUGAGCCCCUAAACUGUGAUGAAUCUUUUAUCACCAGUGGUAUUGGCCUCCCCAGCCCCAGCAGAGAUGGCUUCCUCAACCCCAGUGGAAGCGGCCUCUCUACAUACAGGGUAUCAGCCUUUCCUUCUCCUUCUGAGAGGAUUAACCCUGCAUUGCCUGAGGAAAGGGUCAUAGCCUCCCCUGACGCAAUUGUCAUGUAACAUAAUUAUUAGUCUCCUCAGGACCCACCCCUACCACCCCACCUUACUUCUGGACCUUUAACUAGACUAAAGCUCAGCAGGUCCCUAAAGGUGGGAUACAAUCUGUGACUCAUGAGGAAGUGCAUUACAUUCCAAAAUAAUGACUUCCAUUUUCUAAGUUACACAGACAAAAUCUUGGGAAAUGUGUGGGAAUAAGUACUAAAGGUGUGGGAAAAUGGAAGAAGGAAUUCCUUAUAAGGUUGAAGGAGGCUGAAUGUAUGGGCUCACUAAAUAGGGCUUCUGCAUUUACUGUUGCAGCUUGAGGAAUUAGAAAGGGCUCUAGCAGUUUUGUUGGUUGGUUGGCUGAAACAUAGGCCAAAAGGUGGCCCCCCAUGAGUACCCUGGAAAUGCUGGACUUGCCUCAGUUUAAGCUAGAGAAGAACUUCAGAGGCUUAGGGAUAGAGGAAUGUUAGAGUAGAUUUGUCACUUAAAACCUGCUCACCUGACUGGGGGGUUCCAGAAGUUUUACCUUCCAUCAAUAGUGUGAGGAAUAAAUCUAUGAGAGGAUCCCCAAUAUCCUUUGUGGACAAAGAAUGUCACCUGCCAUACCAGUAAACAAAGGAUGUUGCAGCCACCAAGCCACCAGCCACUGCAGCCACCCCUGAUAGUGCACCCGGAGGGGAUUUAAGAUGUAGAAAAACAGGAUACUGGCCCUAGAUAGUUUAGGUGCAUAUCAAAGGAAUAAUUGUAUUAAUCCCAGAUUCUUACAUCUUCCCAUACAUAGAAAAGUGUUAAAAUCGUUAACUUGAGAUGUCUGGUUUUCCUUUAAUUAGCAGGAAAGUUUUGAUGUUUGAUUACUUGGGUUUUUUUGGCAAAACUCCUAUAUAUUCUGUUUCUCUUUGGAACUGUCCCCAGAGCUAUCUGAGAGGCUGUAUCCCAGGUUUAAGUCCUCAGUUAUGUUCUAAAUGCAACAUAAUUUUCAGCUUUUAAGUUGCGCAUUUUUUUUCAGUUGACACCUUGAAUACUCUAUGGUUGCUUUCUCUGUAGAUCAGACCUCACAGUGGGAAAUGCAGUCACUGCAUUGGGAAACAUAAAUGCAAAGAGGGUAAUUGAAUCCUGAGGUGGUAGGGGCCAAGUGACAAUAUUCAACCACUGAAGGCAAAGUGGACAUGGUUACCUUAAUGUACAGCAGAGUCAAAGCAGCAAUCAGAAUAGUCUGACUCAUGCUGACUUAUGGUGUUGAUUAAUUGAUCAUGGUGUUCCUAGAAGUGAAAUAGAUAGGAAGCCUACUAAAUUUGUACUUAUCUGUAUAAGCAGAAAAGUUCUAGGUCAAGUGAAUAAAAGUCGAACCUAAAUCAUAAAAACAGAGAGUCACAUCCCUUCAAUACAUUCCUAGACAUGAGCCAGUUUAUGGAUCCCAAACCCCUGGAAUGAAGGAGAGGCUGGGCCCCAUUGAGGAAGGAUCCCAGUGCACUCUGAAAGUUUAUACUGUCAAUUCUUGCCCCAGCCUUCCCCAGAAUGAUGUUUGGCAUUUUACCAGAGUAACUGUGCAUUGGGGAAAAGGAAAUUAUUAGACCUUUUGGGGAACAAUGGACUCUGGCUUUGAAAUGAUACUAAUUCCAAGAGACCUAAAACAUUGCAGGGGCCCAAAAGUCAGAGUAGAGCUUAUGGAAGUCAAGCGACUAAUGGAGUUUUAGCUCAGUGCUGUCUCACCAUGGGCCCAAUGGUUCUCCAAACCAAUCAUGUGGUUAUUUCUCCAGUUCUGGAAUGUAUACUUGGUAUAGACAUAUUUAGCAGCUGGCAGAUUCUCCACAUUUGUUCCCUGACCUGUGGAGGGAGGGUUAUUAUGAUGGGAAAGACGAAGUAAAAGCCAGGAGAACUGCCUCUACCUAGGAAAACAAUAAAUAAAAUUUAAUACCACAUUCAUGGAGGGACUGCAGUGUUUACGGCCAGCAUCAAGGACUUGAAGGAGGCAGGGGUGGUGAUUCCUACAACAUCCUAUCUGGCCUGUGCAGAAGAGAGAUGGAUCUUGAGAAUGACAGUAGAUUAUCAUAAUCUUAACCAGGUGGUGACUCCAAUUGUAGCUGUUGUUGCAGAUGUGGUUUCAUUGCUUGAGAAAGUUAACACUCACCCUGGUAAAUGGUAUGUAAGUUUAUGGAUUUGGUCUGGAAAAUGCCUUUUUAUCCAUCCCUGUCCAUUAGGCCCACCAGAAGCAGAUUGCUUUCAGCUGGCAAGGCCAGUAAUACACCUUCACUGUCCUACCUCAUGAGUAUAUCAACUUUCCAGCCUGAUGCCAUUAUUUAGUUUGCUAGAAAAUACACCUGACUCUCCCUUCCAUAAGAUAUCACACUGGUCUAUUACAUUGCUGACACUAUGCUGGUUGGAUCUAGUGAACGAGCAGUAGCAACUACUCUAGAUUUGUUGGUAAGGUAUUUAUGUGUCAGAGGACAGAAAAUAGAUAAGACAAAAUGCCAUGGCCUCCUACAUCAGUGAGAUUUCUAGGGGCCCAGUGGUAUGAGCCAUGUCAAGAUAUCCCUUCUAAGGUGAAGGAUAAGUUGUCGUCUCUGACACCUCCUACAACCAAAGCACAGGCACAGCUCUUAGUGAUUUCUUUGGGUUUUGGAGGCAACAUAUUCCUCAUCUGGAUGUGUUACUCCAGACUUUUUAAUGAAGUGACUCCAAAAGCUGCUAGUUUAGGCUGGAACCCAGAACAAGAGAAGGCUGUGUAACAGGUCCAGGCUGCAGUGCAAGCUGCUUUGCCACUUGGGCCAUAAGAUCCAGAAGACACAACGGUGUUGACGUGUCUGUGGCAAAUAAGGAUGCUGUCUGGAGCCUCUUGAAGGCCCGCAUAGGUGAAUCAAAGCACAGGCCUUAAGAACUGUGGAGCAAGGCCCUUCCAUCAUUUUGGUAACUAGUCUCCUUUUGAGAAACAAGAGGUCUGCUACUGAACUUUGUAGAGACUGAACACUUAACCUUGGGCCAUCAAGUUACCAUGUGACCUGAGCUGCCCAGCAUGAACUAAGUGGAAUCUUAACCACCAAGCCAUAACAGAGGCCAUGCACAGCAGCACUCCAUCGUCAAAUGGAUAUGGUAUAUAUGUGAUCAGGCCAGAGCAGGUCUUGAAGGCACAAGUAAGUUCCAUGAAGAAGGAGCUCAAAGGCCCACAGUCCUCACUUCGGCUACACUACCUUUUCUCUCCCAGCCUGCACCUAUGACGUCAAGGGGACUUCCCUACUAUUAAUUGACGGAGGGAGACUCAGGCAGGCCUGGUUUACAAAUGGUUCUGCACAAUAUGCAGGCACGACCCAAAAGUGGAUAGCUACUGCCCUCAGCCCCUCUCUGAGACAUCUCUGAAGGAUAGUGGUGAAGAGAAAUCCUCCCAGUGGGCAGAACUUGAGGCCAUGCACCUGGCUGAGGGAGAAACACUUGGAAGGAGAAAUGGUCAGACAUGCUGGGUGGUCAGGAAUUGAAAAAAGCAUGACUGGAAAGUUGGUCAUAAAGAAAAUUGGGGAAGAGGUAUGUGAACAGAUUUCUCUGAAUAGUUGAAAAGCAUGAAGAUAUUUGUGUCUCAUGUGAAUGCUCAUCAUCAAAGGGUGAUCUCAGCAGAGGAGGAUUUUAAUUCUCAAGUAGAUAGGAUGACCUGUUCUGUGCAGACCAGUCAGCCUCUUUCCCCAGCCACCCCUGUCAUUGCCCAACGGGCUCAUCAACAAAGUGGCCAUGGUGACAGGGACGCAGGUUACGCACGUGCUCAGCAAUAUCGACUUCCACUCAUCAAGGCUGACCUGGCUACAGCCACUACUGAAUUCCCAAUCAAAAAGAAUCAACCAGCAGCAGAGACCAACAGUGGGCCCUCAAUAUGGUGUUAUUCCCCGGGUGAUCAGCCAGCUAGUCAGUGGCAGACUGAUGACACUGGACAGCUUUCAUUGUGCAAGGGGCAGUAUUUUGUUCUUAUUGGAAUAGACAUUUGCUCUGGGUACAGAUUUGCCUUUCCUGCAUACGUCACUUCUGCGUAACUACCAUCCAUGAUCUUACAGAAUGACUUAUCAUUGUCAUGGGAUUCUGCAAGCAUUGCUCAAGAUCAAGGAAUACAUUUCACAGCAGAUGAAGUGAGGCAAUGGGCCCUUGGAAUUCACUAGUCUUACCUGAAGCAGCAGGCUGGAUAGAAUGGUGGAAUGGCCUUCUGAAGACUCAGUUACAGGGCUGCCUAUGUGACAAUACCUCUGCUUGUCCCAGGGCAAGGUUCUCCAGAGGGUUGUAUAUGCUCUGAAUCGGAGUCCAAUAUAUGGUCCUCUUUCUUCCAUAGCCAGGAUUCUCGGGUCCAGGAAUUUUAAGGGACAAAAAUGAGAAGAGUUAUUUUCAACUCUUCAGUAUUAUCCCUAGUGACCCACUAUCAAAUUUUUGCUUUUUGUUCCUGUGACCUUAUGCUCUGCUGGUCUGAGUUCCAAAGGGGAAAAUGCUUCUACCAGGAGACACAGCAAUGAUUCCAAAGAACUGGGAGUUAAGACUAACACCCAGCUACCUUGGGCUCCUCAUGCCUCUGAAUCAACAGACAAAGAAGGAAAGGAAAGUGUUUGUUGAUACAAGGAUACUACUUGCGGACUACUCUUCCACACGGAAGUAAGGAAAAGUGUAUCUGGAUAUAGUAGAUCGCUUAAGGCAUCCCUUAGUAUUACCAUGUUCUUUGAUUAAGCUCAGUGGAAAACUACAACAACCCAAUCUAGGCAGGGCUACUAAUGACCCAGACUAUUCAAGAAGGAAGGAUUUGGUCACCCACCAGGGAAGAACCACGAUCUGCUGAGGUGCUUGCUGAAGAUAGAAAGAAUACAGAAUGGGUAGAAGAAAGUAGUUACAAAGACCAGCUAUAACUGACCACUUACAGAAACCAGGACUGUAAUUGUCAUGAGUACACCAUUUUUUUUUGCUAUGAAUAUAUUUGUGUUAAGUGUGUAUUUGUUUUUUCUCUCUCAUAUUCCCUUAUUAUGUAACAUGAGUUGUAUUGAUUUUAUAUCAUAAUAUGUAAGUACUCUUAAUUUUACAUUAUAGUACUUUAAGUUAUAUCACAAUGAUUUACCUCCUCUUCUGGGGAUAGGGUUAGUGUAUUUUGAUUGGACUCAGAAUUGUUGUAUCAUAUUAAGUGGAAUUAAGACCUUGUUAUUGUCUUAUUUGGGGAUUAAGUAAGAUUUGAGGAGAUGCAUAUGGGUGUCAUGUUGACACAGGGUCGACUUGUGAUGAUUAGUUUCAUGUGUCAACUUAACUGGCUAUGGGGGACCCAGAUUAACAAUUAUUUCUGGGUAUAUUUUGUGAGGGAAUUUCCAGGUGAAAUUAGCAUUGAAAUUGGUGGACUCAGUAAGUUGAUUGCCCCCCCCCCAAUGUGGGUGGACAUCAUCCAGUCUGUUGAGGGCUUGAAUAGAACAAGAGCUGGGGGAGGGAAGAAUUUGCCCCUUUUUCCUGCCUCAUGGUGUGAGGUGAGAUAGUUCAUCUUCUCCUGACCUCAGACUGGAAUUUAUAUCACCACCUCCCCUGGUUCUCAGGCCAUUGGACUAGGAUUGAAUUAUAUCACUAGCUUUCUGGGGUCUCCAGCUUACAGAUGGCAGACUGUGGGAUUUCUCGGCUUCCAUUAUCAUAAGAGCUAAUUCCCUGUUACAAACACAUGCAUGUAUUCUAUAGGUUCUGCUUCUUUGGAGAAUUCUGACUAAUACAACAUGUAUCCACCACUGUAAUAUCACACAGAAUACUUUUACUGACCUAAGAAUCCCCUGUGUUCCACCUAUUCAACCUACUCUUCCCUUCCUCCUCCCAAACCCCCAACAACCACUGAUCUUUUUACGGUCUCCAUAGCUUUGCCUUCUAAAAUAUCAUAUAGUUAAGAAUUAUACAGUACGUAGCCCUUUCAGAUUGGUUUAUUUCACCUAGUAAUAUGCAUUUAAGUUCCUCCAUGUCUUUUCAUGGGUAGUUUAUUUCCUUUUAUUGCUGAAUAAUAUUCCGUUGUAUGAAUGUGGAACAGGUUUUUGUUUGUUUGUUUGUUUGUUUUUAAUCCAUCCAUCCAUCUAUGGAAGGGCACCUUGGUUGCCUCUAAUUUUUGGCAAUUAUGAACAAAGCUGCCACAAUCAUUCAUGUGCAAGCUUUUGUAUGGACGUAAAUUUUCAGCUCUUUGGGGUAUAUACCAAAGAGCUUGAUUGCUGCAUUUUAUGGUAAAUGUAUAUUUACUCUUUUAUUAAACUGCCAAACUGUC
Molecule: long non-coding RNA, 9430 nt
Organism: Balaenoptera ricei (Rice's whale)
Lineage: Eukaryota; Metazoa; Chordata; Mammalia; Artiodactyla; Balaenopteridae
Exons: 2
Source: RefSeq, a predicted model, not a curated record